CCGCAGCCCCCUCCUGAUUCCCCAUCGUCCCUCCCACAUCGCCGCCACCAACCAUCUCCUCGCCUCCCUCCUGUCAUUGCUCGCCAUUGGCCCCCCCCCUUCUCUCCUCUCACCUCGCAGCACCAGUAGCUACCAGAUCCGCCGCAUCCCUCACGCCGCAGCCAACGCCCGCCGGUUCCGGUGACUCCACCACCGCGCAACACAUAGAUGAGCUGGUCUCUGACCCCUCGUCCUCCAAGCCAGUUGGAUCCGCCGCACCCGUUCCCCUGCGCUCGCCUGUGACGCCUAGCCUGUGGCUAGGGUUUCGGCUGCAGAUCGCGUCCAUCCUCGGCACGUCUCCGGCGGCUUCGCUCCAUUGCACACCGCGCGGACUCGCGCCAUCUCCACCUUCUGGAUGGCUUCUCCUAGCUCAGUGUGUUCGCCCGCGUUGGGCUGCACGGCGGCGACCCCAACCUCCUCUGCCACAUCUCUGGCGCGGCUGUGCAUCCUGUGGCAACCUCCUUUGCAGCAUUUGGACCACUAGAGGCCCUCCCUUGCCCAGGUUCAACAAGACUGUUAAAUGCAAUCUAUAGUGCAGGUCACUAUUCUGAACAAGUUCCUGUUCUGCACGCAUACAACAUACUAGCGUCUUGCUGCCGCGCCAUAUAGAUUGAUAAAUUGAUUUUUCUCUAAAGUAGGUAAGAGCAUAUGUUGUUGCAAAGUAUAUGAAUAUCUUUUUGUUGAUGUAGCUGAUUGUUUAUUUCUUUUAUCUAAUAAGGGGAAGUGGUCUGUAUGUUUUGAAGGGGAGAAUAUUUGAGUUGUAAAAUUGAUUGUGCCUCUCCUGUCCUUCACAUCUGGACGGAGGGAACACAUAACAGAAGUCUCAAUAUAUCGGUGACAUAGUCUGUCAAGAACCGAUUCACAUACAUAUCAUAUAUACAAGAGCUAGGCAAUCCAUUUUACAGUUUGUAGGUACGAUGCAUUUUUUUCAUGUGUGAAUCUAGGAGAGGUGGUACUAAAAGGUUGGCCUUUGUGUCAGGUAGAAGAGAUGUUUAGAUACAAAAUUAGAUACAAAAAGGUCGCAGGUAGAAGAGAUGUCUAGAUAUUUGAGUUACCGCUAGCGUGCUCCAAUUAACAGGUAGAGAUCAUGGGCUAUUCGAAAGGAGAGUAGGAUAUGUUCAGAACAACAAUUAAAAAUGCAAGAAAACCAUGCUUGGCUUUCUUUAGCAACAGUUCACUUCCACUUCUACCUGAUUGUACCUCUUUAAUGUCCAUGAUGGUUUUCUGCUCUGCAUACAGUAUGGGUCAAAAGUCCAAAUGGCGAAAAAGGCGCUGACGCCGUUACUUGGAAACAAUAAUUAACUUUUGUAGUUUGUUUACCUUCUUUGUCUCCCGAGUAUACUUUGUGUGUCCAUACUUCUGUUCCAAAAAGAAAAUUGUAAGUAACAAUGAAAGAAAGAAGAAUUGAUUACCUGACUUCUUCAUUACUGCCUUGAUGUCUUAUUCAAUUAUUGCCUGACUUCUUAAUAUACUUGGAUGAAUAAUCCUUUUGUUUUCCCUUCUUUUUGGGGUUUGCAAGCAACAGUUUAUAUGAUGCUGAGUUUUUUUGCUUAUUAUAGUAGAAGUGAUGGAUUUGUACUAUUGUAUUUCUGGAAAUGCGUAUUCACAGAAUUGCAAUCUGAAGGAGCGAUGGAAGUGAAGAUUGCAUGCUUUUUCUUUAAGAUACCUAAUAGAUGGCAUAUUAUUUUCGCUUCAGAUUUAAGAGUGUUCGAUCUGCUACAUCGUGCAUUUGUUCAGUCUCAAAAUUUCAGUGUUAUUCCUAGCAUAUUCUCUAUUUCUCGGUAUUAUUCACACCACGUCAUUGGUGAAAGCCUACUGGAAAGAAUAAUUAAUUAAUGGUGUGCUAGUAAUCUUUAAACUAAAAUGUUAGGUAUACAACCAGAACUAUACAAAAAAAGAGAUCAGGUAUAUUCCCUUGAAUUAUAUACUUAAUACAUUUUCAUGUGGGGGCUCUUUGUAGAAAGCAAUUGAGAUAAUAAUCAGGAAUAGAGAAUAUGCUAGUAAUCCUGCUAGUAAAGAUAAUAAUCAGGAAGUGGCAUAUAUACAAUUUCAACACAUGCUCUAUCUCAAUUCUUCAUACCAUCUCAUACUGAAGUGAGGGCAAAGAUAAUUAUGUACCUUGUAUGCCAUGAAGGCUAAUCAGUAAAUUAGAGAAUGCAUGUUUUUUUAUUCCAACAUAUGUCAUUGUUCUUCACAACUCCCAGGUGUUGUUAAUCUAGAUGUGAAGGUUAUCGUACUAAGUGGAUCAUUUAAUUCCCUAAAAUGCUCUUGCCUUUGAGUGGUUUUUAUUUCACAUUACAUGCAAAAGGCUAGUUUAUUAACAUAAUUACUUUUAAUUGAUGAAGAAAGUAUGCCUCCAGUAUUACUAUUCUGCUUUUUCUUAGCGUGUGUUGCCCACAUUUUUAUGCUACCUUAAUAUAGUAGUGGUGUGUGCAUCAGAUGAUUGCUUGGAAAAUCAACUAAUUAUUGCUCUUUGUAUUCAUUUGGGAGCUGGCUGUUAUAACUUAUUAUCAUUCUGAUGUGUUUUGGAUUCUUUGCAGAUUUUGCAGUUAGUCCGUGUUACUGGAGAUUAAAGUUUUUCAGCAGGAUUACUUGGGUCCAAUUAGCUGCGUGGAAGUGGCUGUGUAGUGUUAGAGAUUAAAAUCACCCAGUAGUGCUUUUUCAACGGAGUCAUGUUACUCGAUUUUUUUUAAAUGCUUAUAGCGCCUUCUAGAUAUGCUUGUGAUGUUUUGAUAUUAAUUUUGUUUUUCAAAAUCAGACCAGAUAGUAGGAAAUUUGUAUUGUCUUGUGAACAAAUGCUAUUUUUUGAAUGAAUAUAAUUUGUUGUCUUUGUAAA
Long non-coding RNA from Triticum aestivum (bread wheat), 2875 nucleotides. RefSeq lists it as uncharacterized. The record is from RefSeq and is a predicted model, not a curated record. The transcript has 2 exons. Lineage: Eukaryota; Viridiplantae; Streptophyta; Magnoliopsida; Poales; Poaceae.